UACGAAGGGAGCUAGCGUUGUUCGGAAUUACUGGGCAUAAAGGGCGCGUAGGCGGCCGUAUACGUCAGAUGUGAAAUCCCUGGGCUUAACCUAGGAACUGCAUUUGAUACGGUACAGCUAGAGUAUGGUAGAGGAUAGUGGAAUUGCGAGUGUAGAGGUGAAAUUCGUAGAUAUUCGCAGGAACACCGAUGGCGAAGGCAGCUAUCUGGGCCAAUACUGACGCUGAGGCGCGAAAGCGUGGGGAGCAAACAGG
RNAcentral lists this ribosomal RNA (253 nucleotides) under uncultured bacterium. RNAcentral's name for it is "partial 16S ribosomal RNA". It matches the Rfam family "Bacterial small subunit ribosomal RNA", at positions 524 to 776 of the family's 1533-position model. The record is from RNAcentral.